CAGAGUUCAUGCCCUCACGGGUAGAUCUCCCACCCUUGAAUAUUAUACCUUAGUUGCUUUGGCAGGCCGGGGCAACCCCCGGGGCCUCGGCCUUGGUGUGCCUGCCAGAGGAAACAAACUCUGUUUUUAGUGAUGUCUGAGUACUAUAUAAUAGUUA
This 157-nucleotide unclassified non-coding RNA is filed under the name uncultured Naevala. The record is from RNAcentral. Lineage: Eukaryota; Fungi; Ascomycota; Leotiomycetes; Helotiales; Dermateaceae.